UGAGUAACACGUGGGGAACCUGCCCCUAAGUCUGGGAUACCAUUUGGAAACAGGCUGCUAAUACCGGAUAAUAAAGCAGAUCGCAUGAUCAGCUUUUUGAAAGGCGGCGUAAGCUGUCGCUAAGGGAUGGCCCCGCGGUGCAUUAGCUAGUUGGUAAGGUAACGGCUUACCAAGGCGACGAUGCAUAGCCGAGUUGAGAGACUGAUCGGCCACAUUGGGACUGAGACACGGCCCAAACUCCUACGGGAGGCAGCAGUAGGGAAUCUUCCACAAUGGACGCAAGUCUGAUGGAGCAACGCCGCGUGAGUGAAGAAGGUUUUCGGAUCGUAAAGCUCUGUUGUUGGUGAAGAAGGAUAGAGGUAGUAACUGGCCUUUAUUUGACGGUAAUCAACCAGAAAGUCACGGCUAACUACGUGCCAGCAGCCGCGGUAAUACGUAGGUGGCAAGCGUUGUCCGGAUUUAUUGGGCGUAAAGCGAGCGCAGGCGGAAAAAAUAAGUCUAAUGUGAAAGCCCUCGGCUUAACCGAGGAACUGCAUCGGAAACUGUUUUUCUUGAGUGCAGAAGUGGAGAGUGGAACUCCAUGUGUAGCGGUGGAAUGCGUUAAAUAUAUGGAAGAAACACCAGUGGGCGAAGGCGGCUCUCUGGGUCUGCAACUGACGCUGAGGCUCGAAAGC
Molecule: ribosomal RNA, 674 nt
Filed under: uncultured bacterium
Lineage: Bacteria
Description: bacterial SSU rRNA
Rfam family: Bacterial small subunit ribosomal RNA
Source: RNAcentral